GGGACAAGAAGUUAUUCCGGUUAGCUAAAGUAAGGGAGAGGAAGGCGCAAGAUCUGGACCAAGUUUGGUGCAUCAAGGACGAUGGUAGAGUUUUGAUGGGGAGUCUCAAGUCAAGCAGAGGUGGAAGACAUACUUUCGAGACCUUCUUAACGAGGAGGGGGAUCGAAACAUAGAGCUAGGGGAGCUGGGGCAUUCAGAGCGUCAUAGAGACCUUGGGUACUGCAGGCACAUUAGCGUGGAGGAGGUCAUGGGGUCUUCGCGUAUGAUGAGUAGGGUUCGAGCGACCGGGCCUGACAAGAUCCAGGUGGAGUUCUGGAAAUGCAUGGGUAGGUCAGGAGCGGAGUGGCUCUCCAGGUUAUUCAAUGCGAUCUUCAGGACCAAAAGGAUGUCGGGCAUUCAGAGCAUCUUAGAGACCUUGGGUACUGCAGGCGUAUUAGAGUGGAGGAGGUCAUGGGGGCUUUGCGUAGGAUGAGCAAGGGUCGAGCGACUGGGCCUGACGAGAUCCCGGUGGAGUUCUGGAAAUGCAUGGGUAGGUCUGGAGUGGGGUGACUCUCUAGGUUGUUCAAUGCGAUCUUCAUGACCAAAAGGAUACCGGAAGAGUGGAGGUGGAGUACGGUGGUGCCCUUGUACAAGAACAAA
This 639-nucleotide long non-coding RNA is filed under the name Nicotiana benthamiana. RNAcentral describes it as "long non-coding RNA (NBEN_LNC030102)". Lineage: Eukaryota; Viridiplantae; Streptophyta; Magnoliopsida; Solanales; Solanaceae. The record is from RNAcentral.